Molecule: ribosomal RNA, 301 nt
Filed under: uncultured bacterium
Lineage: Bacteria
Description: partial 16S ribosomal RNA
Rfam family: Bacterial small subunit ribosomal RNA
Source: RNAcentral
CAGCAGCCACGGGAAUACGUAGGUGGCAAGCGUUGUCCGGAAUUAUUGGGCGUAAAGGGCUCGCAGGCGGUUUCUUAAGUCUGAUGUGUAAGCCCCCGGCUCAACCGGGGAGGGUCAUUGGAAACUGGGAAACUUGAGUGCAGAAGAGGAGAGUGGGAUUCCACGUGUAGCGGUGAAAUGCGUAGAGAUGUGGAGGAACACCAGUGGCGAAGGCGACUCUCUGGUCUGUAACUGACGCUGAGGAGCGAAAGCGUGGGGAGCAAACAGGAUUAGAUACCCCAGUAGUCCCUGUCUCUUAUAC